This 441-nucleotide ribosomal RNA is filed under the name uncultured Pseudomonadota bacterium. RNAcentral describes it as "bacterial SSU rRNA". It matches the Rfam family "Bacterial small subunit ribosomal RNA", at positions 29 to 505 of the family's 1533-position model. Lineage: Bacteria; Pseudomonadati; Pseudomonadota. The record is from RNAcentral.
AACGAACGCUGGCGGCAGGCUUAACACAUGCAAGUCGAACGAGAAAUUACCUUCGGGUAAUAGAAAGUGGCAAACGGGUGAGUAAUGCAUGAGAACAUACCUUGAAGUUUGGGAUAGCCCCGGGAAACUGGGAUUAAUACCGAAUACGCUCUACGGAGGAAAGUUUUUUCGCUUCAAGAUUGGCUCAUGUUAGAUUAGUUUGUUGGUAGGGUAAAGGCCUACCAAGACUACGAUCUAUAGCUGGUCUGAGAGGAUGAUCAGCCACACUGGAACUGCGACACGGUCCAGACUCCUACGGGAGGCAGCAGUGGGGAAUAUUGCACAAUGGAGGAAACUCUGAUGCAGCCAUGCCGCGUGAGUGAUGAAGGCCCUAGGGUUGUAAAGCUCUUUCAAUAAUGAAGAUAGUGACAUUAGUUAUAGAAGAAGCUCCGGCUAACUUCG